RNAcentral lists this ribosomal RNA (962 nucleotides) under Janthinobacterium aquaticum. RNAcentral describes it as "bacterial SSU rRNA". It matches the Rfam family "Bacterial small subunit ribosomal RNA", at positions 37 to 995 of the family's 1533-position model. Lineage: Bacteria; Pseudomonadati; Pseudomonadota; Betaproteobacteria; Burkholderiales; Oxalobacteraceae. The record is from RNAcentral.
UGGCGGCAUGCCUUACACAUGCAAGUCGAACGGCAGCACGGAGCUUGCUCUGGUGGCGAGUGGCGAACGGGUGAGUAAUAUAUCGGAACGUACCCUGGAGUGGGGGAUAACGUAGCGAAAGUUACGCUAAUACCGCAUACGAUCUAAGGAUGAAAGUGGGGGAUCGCAAGACCUCAUGCUCGUGGAGCGGCCGAUAUCUGAUUAGCUAGUUGGUAGGGUAAAAGCCUACCAAGGCAUCGAUCAGUAGCUGGUCUGAGAGGACGACCAGCCACACUGGAACUGAGACACGGUCCAGACUCCUACGGGAGGCAGCAGUGGGGAAUUUUGGACAAUGGGCGAAAGCCUGAUCCAGCAAUGCCGCGUGAGUGAAGAAGGCCUUCGGGUUGUAAAGCUCUUUUGUCAGGGAAGAAACGGUGAGAGCUAAUAUCUUUUGCUAAUGACGGUACCUGAAGAAUAAGCACCGGCUAACUACGUGCCAGCAGCCGCGGUAAUACGUAGGGUGCAAGCGUUAAUCGGAAUUACUGGGCGUAAAGCGUGCGCAGGCGGUUUUGUAAGUCUGAUGUGAAAUCCCCGGGCUCAACCUGGGAAUUGCAUUGGAGACUGCAAGGCUAGAAUCUGGCAGAGGGGGGUAGAAUUCCACGUGUAGCAGUGAAAUGCGUAGAUAUGUGGAGGAACACCGAUGGCGAAGGCAGCCCCCUGGGUCAAGAUUGACGCUCAUGCACGAAAGCGUGGGGAGCAAACAGGAUUAGAUACCCUGGUAGUCCACGCCCUAAACGAUGUCUACUAGUUGUCGGGUCUUAAUUGACUUGGUAACGCAGCUAACGCGUGAAGUAGACCGCCUGGGGAGUACGGUCGCAAGAUUAAAACUCAAAGGAAUUGACGGGGACCCGCACAAGCGGUGGAUGAUGUGGAUUAAUUCGAUGCAACGCGAAAAACCUUACCUACCCUUGACAUGGAUGGAA